AUGCCACCCUGAGGGUGGUGAACGGGGUGGAGGCUGUGCCUCACUCCUGGCCCUGGCAGGUGUCCAUGCAGGCCAGUCCGUUCCCUCCCAUCCCCUACAUGCACGGCUGUGGAGGCUCCCUCAUCCACCCUGAAUGGAUCCUCACUGCAGCCCACUGCUUCAUGAAGCCUCUGAACAACCCCAGUUUCUGGCGCAUGUGCCUGGGUAAACACCACAUGAACUCGUCCCUG
Molecule: long non-coding RNA, 230 nt
Organism: Hypomesus transpacificus
Lineage: Eukaryota; Metazoa; Chordata; Actinopteri; Osmeriformes; Osmeridae
Exons: 3
Source: RefSeq, a predicted model, not a curated record